ACCUCCUAGUGAUCUGCCAUUCA
RNAcentral lists this microRNA (23 nucleotides) under Ananas comosus (pineapple). RNAcentral's name for it is "microRNA s1671_c105b". The record is from RNAcentral. Lineage: Eukaryota; Viridiplantae; Streptophyta; Magnoliopsida; Poales; Bromeliaceae.